Molecule: small RNA, 281 nt
Filed under: uncultured Methylobacterium sp.
Lineage: Bacteria; Pseudomonadati; Pseudomonadota; Alphaproteobacteria; Hyphomicrobiales; Methylobacteriaceae
Description: 5' ureB small RNA
Rfam family: 5' ureB small RNA
Source: RNAcentral
UCGAUCUGCUGCGGGCAGAUGAAGUGGAUAUGGCUGUCGAAGCCGCCCGCCGUGAGGAUCUUGCCCUCGCCGGCGAUCACCUCGGUGCCGGGGCCGACCACGAUAUCGAUGCCGGGCUGAACGUCCGGGUUGCCGGCCUUGCCGAGUUUGUGAAUGCGGCCGCGAACGAUGCCGACAUCGCAUUUCACCACGCCCCAAUGGUCGAGCACGACGGCGUUGGUGAUGACGGUAUCGACCGCACCGGCGGCGUUGGUCACCUGCGACUGGCCCAUGCCGUCGCG